This 35-nucleotide ribosomal RNA is filed under the name Burkholderia cepacia. Its description in RNAcentral is "16S ribosomal RNA". Lineage: Bacteria; Pseudomonadati; Pseudomonadota; Betaproteobacteria; Burkholderiales; Burkholderiaceae. The record is from RNAcentral. RNAcentral also lists the same sequence under 6 other names.
GCCGUAUCGGAAGGUGCGGCUGGAUCACCUCCUUU